GAUGAACGCUGGCGGCGUGCUUAACACAUGCAAGUCGAACGAUGAAGCCCAGCUUGCUGGGUGGUUUAGUGGCGAACGGGUGAGUAACACGUGAGUAACCUGCCCUUAACUCUGGGAUAAGCCUGGGAAACUGGGUCUAAUACCGGAUAGGAGCGCCUACCGCAUGGUGGGUGUUGGAAAGAUUUAUCGGUUUUGGAUGGACUCGCGGCCUAUCAGCUUGUUGGUGAGGUAAUGGCUCACCAAGGCGACGACGGGUAGCCGGCCUGAGAGGGUGACCGGCCACACGGGGACUGAGGGACGGCGCAGACUCCUACGGGAGGCAGCAGUGGGGAGUAUUGCACAAUGGGCGAAAGCCUGAGACGGCGGCGCCGGGUGAGGGAUGACGGCCUUCGGGUUGUGAACCGCUUUCAGUAGGGAAGAAGCGAAAGUGACGGUACCUGCAGAAGAAGCACCGGCUAACUACGUG
This 466-nucleotide ribosomal RNA is filed under the name uncultured bacterium. Its description in RNAcentral is "partial 16S ribosomal RNA". It matches the Rfam family "Bacterial small subunit ribosomal RNA", at positions 28 to 507 of the family's 1533-position model. The record is from RNAcentral.